This 478-nucleotide ribosomal RNA is filed under the name uncultured bacterium. RNAcentral describes it as "bacterial SSU rRNA". It matches the Rfam family "Bacterial small subunit ribosomal RNA", at positions 30 to 504 of the family's 1533-position model. The record is from RNAcentral.
CGAACGCUGGCGGCGUGGUUUAGGCAUGCAAGUCGAACGAGAACGCUUCCUUCGGGAAGUUAUUAAAGUGGCGAAAGGGUGAGUAAUAUAUGGAUGACUUACCCUCGAGACGGGGACAACAGCUCGAAAGGGCUGCUAAUACCCGAUAGUUCUGGUAGCUUACGGGCUUCCGGAUAAAUGGUAAUUCCGCUCGAGGAGAGGUCCAUGUCCUAUCAGCUUGUUGGUAAGGUAAUGGCUUACCAAGGCGAUAACGGGUAGCCGGACUGAGAGGUUGGCCGGUCACACUGGGACUGAGACACUGCCCAGACUCCUACGGGAGGCUGCAGUCGAGAAUCUUACGCAAUGGGCGCAAGCCUGACGGAGCGACGCCGCGUGCAGGAAGAAGGCUUUCGGGUUGUAAACUGCUGUAACAUGUUAAGAAAAGUUAUGGUUAACCAUAACCUUGACAAAGGCAUGAGAGGAAGUCACGGCUAACUUC